CUGGACUUACGUCAGACUCCAACAAAUAAACAAGACACAGGAAACCAACUGCCAAUCGCUGGACUGAUGUCAGACUCCAACAAACAAACAAGACACAGGAAACCAACUGCCAUACGACCAAUCGCUGGACUUACGUCAGACUCCAACAAAUAAACAAGACACAGGAAACCAACUGCCAAUCGCUGGACUGAUGUCAGACUCCAACAAACAAACAAGACACAGGAAACCAACUGCCAUACGCUGGACUUAUGUCAGACUCCUAACAAAGAAACACAGACAGGAAACCAACUGCCAAUCGCUGGACUUAUGUCAGACUCCACACAAACAGGCAAACACACACAAAGGGGGUUGAAAAAGAAA
This 360-nucleotide long non-coding RNA is filed under the name Lathyrus oleraceus (garden pea). RNAcentral's name for it is "Pisum sativum (pea) long non-coding RNA (PSAT_LNC000629)". Lineage: Eukaryota; Viridiplantae; Streptophyta; Magnoliopsida; Fabales; Fabaceae. The record is from RNAcentral.